This is a long non-coding RNA of Panicum virgatum (switchgrass), 3231 nucleotides long. RefSeq lists it as uncharacterized. The record is from RefSeq and is a predicted model, not a curated record. The transcript has 8 exons. Lineage: Eukaryota; Viridiplantae; Streptophyta; Magnoliopsida; Poales; Poaceae.
CGGAGCUCGGCAGCAACUAGACGCCGGUUUCGCCUGCCUUCCAAACACGCCGCCGUCUUCAACCCUUCUUCCAAAACGGACGGGGGAAAGCGAGAAAAUCCCGCGGGCAAGGGCGCGCGCGCGAGCUGCCAUGGAUGCUGGGGCUGAGGAGCUCGGCGGCACAGCUCAGCCCCAAGAGCAGAACCUUGACCCUGGUCCUGUUGAUAAAUCUGUCCUGGUGGAACAGGAGUUUCACAAGUCAGAAGCUAUAUUUGUUGGGAAGAUCUACAAACCUGUUAGAUUUAUCGAACAUGGCACCAGACUUAACCAGUGGGAAGUGAGACAUAAGGGAAUGCUUGCGCUAUUGCAGCGUUCUGGAUUUUACCACCUCUCUUUCUUGAAGCGGGUUCAGUUGGACCAUGCAUUUUUAAAUGCAUUGGUUGAAAGAUGGCGGCGUGAAACACAAACAUUUCACUUGCGGUUUGGAGAAAUUACAGUGCUCUUAAAGGAUGUGGCAAUUCUUACUGGGCUUCGUGUACAUGGUGCUCUUGUCACUGGCCCGGCAAACUGUAAUUGGGAGCAAUUAUGCACACAGCUUCUGGGUCAAGAGCCUCCACAGAUCAAAGGUGGUUCUAUCAACAUUGCAUGGCUCCAUGACACUUUCAAAACAUUACCAUAAGGUGCAAAUCAGUCAGAUGUAGAGUAUGCUGCACGACUCACGAGCGUACAUACUGUACCAAAUCGGCUGCAGUUUAUUUCCUGAUCCGAGUGGAACUAGAGUGCACUUGCGAUAUUUGGCCCUACUCCGUGAUUUUGAUGCCUCAGGAGAGAUGGCCUGGGGGGCUGCUGUUCUUGCCCACCUCUACAGAGAACUUGGAAAGACCAGCAUGAAGGGCAAAGCGAACUGCUGUGCGUUUCUCACUCUUCUUCAGAUAUGGGCAUGGGAGCAUAUCCAGAUAGGCUGUCCUGAAAGGCUAGAGAAUAAGGCUCUACCCGAUGACUUGCCCCUUGGAUGCAGGUUUUUUAUAGCUCAGAUUGUUUUUUAUUACCACUUCUGUUUACUUCAAUAUAUGCUCCAUGAUAUGAAAAACAUCUGAUAACUAGAUGGAAUGUUGCCUUCAAGAACCGUGAAAAUGUCUGAUCCAUGGACCAUGAGUUCUACAGGCAUCGGCUCGAUACUAUAUCAGAUUCUCAGAUCACAUGGGACCCAUACACACCAAACCUGAUCGCUGGGCUUCCUGCAACAUGUACAUUUGGAUCUGCAGUUUGGAGAUCAAGGACUCCAUUAAUAUGCUUCCAGAUAGUGGAAAUGCAUGUGUCUGAUCGUGUCUUACUACAAUUUGGAAUGGUGCAGCACAUACCAGACCUGGUUGAGGCUGUUGAACGUGUUACAAUGCAGGGUAAAGCUGAUCAAGAUUGGCCUACUUACCAUGAUAAGUACAUUAAACAAUGGCAGAACAGGCUCUUCUCUGUUGUCGAGCAACAGGAUACAGGGAACUCAGAUCCUACUCAUGCAAGGAAUCGUUACCUUGAAUGAUAUUGGCGAAUUACACGUCGAUGGAUCUCCACUCCUGUUGAAUGUCCAGUUAUAUCGUAUGAGUUAUCUAGGCAGGCUGGUAAAAUUCUGCAGGUUGAUUUGGUCAAUACAGUACAUGGACGAAUUAGAACUUUGUUAAGUGAAACUGAUGCAAAAAGAAUGAAGGAAUCACUUACUGACAUCGAUGUGUACAUCACUGUUAAAAUGGCGGAGUCUAAGCAGAUUAUGCAAAGUGGUGUUCCAGCUGGCAUGGGAAUUGGGAGUGCUGAAUCAGCCAUGAUCUUUUCAAAUAACGUGGAUCGUCCCCAAGCUACUGUUGCGAAUAUGCAACAAAUUGGUGAUGAUCAUGUCGAGGGAAACACUAUACUGCAAUUGGAUCAAAUGAGGAGAAUUCAACCCACAGUAGGAACUGCUGAUUUAGCACCUCUCACUACAGGUGAUACCACAAGCAACAAAACUGAGGAUGCUCAUCCACAGGGAGAUCCUCUUGAUAUAACCAUGACAGAAGUAAAUCUCCAGGACAUUAUUAGCACACCUGUUGAGGAUGCUAUGACAGAUAUUAUGAACACAUCUGCAGAGGAUGCUACACUGGAGGAUAUUUCAAAUUCAGAAAUGAAGAAUGAUUAUGCAUCCAUAGCGACUGUGGAAGUGCAGGAGACUGUUGGAUCAGUGGACCAAAUCUACAAAAAGGUUACAUCUGAAUUGUAGGAGUUUGCUGGUGCACCUUUGAUUAAUGGUGAAGGAACGGUGUGCAAACCUUCAGUCCUUCCAGAAUUCGAAAAGAUUUUGGGUAUAUCAUCAAAUAAUGAGCACUUGCAGAAGAUCACGGGUGCAUCUGAGAACGAUGUUAUAAUUGAGGAAGCUUUGGGGACAAGAUCAAAGAAUAUUACAGGUCCAAGAACGAUGGGUUGACCUUUUAAUGCCAGUAGACCUGGAGAUACCUUGAAUACAUCUAAGAAAAAGUUCAGUUCAGUGCCAAGUGAUGUUGAAUCUCCCUAUGUCUCUGAACAGGAAGAACCUGAUGCUGCAAUUCCAGGCCCUGACAAACAGCAAGAUGCUGUCCAGACAAAGCUUGAGGACAAUGUUGCUCAGGGUGGAGCCGAUGCUAUGCAAAAUCAAAUAUUUCAAGAGAAUACCAAGGACCCAAUUGAAAAUGGCCAUUGGCAGAAACCUGUUGCUGUACCUGCUGAAGAUUUCCCUAUCAGUAGUGCUGGAGAGGUAACUCAGAGAAUUGUUAAUUCAUUCACUGGAGAAGCAAAUGAUACAGUUGGAAAGGAGGAAUCCGCUGGGGAUGAGGACCUUGGCAAUCUAGGUCCAAACAAACUAUCUAAAAGGAGGAAAUUGAUGGUUCUUUCCCACGAAAAUUCUGAGUUUUGUUUAACCAUAGAGGCUACUAAAAUGGAAACUGCAAAAACAGAGGAGAAAACAGAUCAGAAUGUAAGAAGUGGCAGUGGCCAGUUGAUAGCAUUCACAAGAAGGAAACGAAAGCACUUAUGCAAUCACCGCCCUGACUCCUAAUACUAUUUUGUUACUUUAGGCAAUAUUUUGAGAAGCUUUUUCGCUUAUGUAUGUUUUAGAGUACAAUGGAUGUGAAUUCAGAAUCUUCUUACCAUGAUGUGCAGCCAAGGCGUCAUGCCAAAGGAAUAUCUGAAUCCUUUUCAGAUUAGGAAUAUCUGAACCGAGAUGUGACUAAGAUUGCCAGGACUUGUUGUUCC